GACGAACGCUGGCGGCGUGCUUAACACAUGCAAGUCGAACGGAAAGGCCCUGCUUUUGUGGGGUGCUCGAGUGGCGAACGGGUGAGUAACACGUGAGUAACCUGCCCUUGACUUUGGGAUAACUUCAGGAAACUGGGGCUAAUACCGGAUAGGAGCUCCUGCUGCAUGGUGGGGGUUGGAAAGUUUCGGCGGUUGGGGAUGGACUCGCGGCUUAUCAGCUUGUUGGUGGGGUAGUGGCUUACCAAGGCUUUGACGGGUAGCCGGCCUGAGAGGGUGACCGGCCAAAUUGGGACUGAGAUACGGCGCAGACUCCAACGGGAGGCAGCAGUGGGGAAUAUUGCACAAUGGGCGGAAGCCUGAGGCAGCAACGCCGCGGGCGGGAUGACGGCCUGCGGGUUGUAAACCGCUUUCGCCUGUGACGAAGCGUGAGUGACGGUAAUGGGUAAAGAAGCACCGGCUAACUACGUG
This 468-nucleotide ribosomal RNA is filed under the name uncultured bacterium. RNAcentral describes it as "partial 16S ribosomal RNA". It matches the Rfam family "Bacterial small subunit ribosomal RNA", at positions 28 to 507 of the family's 1533-position model. The record is from RNAcentral.